GGAGUCCUGGUGGCCGCUCGCAGCCGGGAGAGGAACAUGGCGGGGCAGGGCAGGUGGAGGUGACAGCUGCACGGACUGCAGUGGCAUAGCUGAGGCAUGGAGAAGCCGUGUAACUUGCCCCAGCUCACAGAGGUAGGAGCAGAGAACAGAUUUGAACCCACGUCCUCUGGCCCCAGAGCCUAAAGUCUUAACCAUUUGACAACCCUGCCUUCUGGGAUUGAAGAAGAACAAAGCAGAGGUCUACAAAUGUGCGUGUAUUUCAGCAUUUCCCCCUGCAGAAAAGUAUUUCCAGCAGAAGAACCAGUUAGAGCAAAAGCGAAUACACCUGAAUUGCUCAAGGAACAGCAAGGAGAUGCCUGCGGCAGGAGCAGAAUGAAUGGAAGAAGUGGGAGGAGGAGGACAGAGCCUUGGAGGCCACGGAAAGGACUGUGGCUUCUGUGGGAAGCCGUUGGAUUGUUUGUUUGAUUGUUUGUUUUUAUUUUUGUUUUUUUACAUUUGGGAAAAACUUUAUUGGUCUUGAUGAAAUAUAGCACCAGUUUGAAGAACAAAAGAUGGUUAGGAUUAACCACCUUUUAAUCAACAGUA
This is a non-coding RNA of Vicugna pacos (alpaca), 585 nucleotides long. Lineage: Eukaryota; Metazoa; Chordata; Mammalia; Artiodactyla; Camelidae. The record is from RefSeq and is a predicted model, not a curated record.